This 303-nucleotide ribosomal RNA is filed under the name uncultured bacterium. Its description in RNAcentral is "partial 16S ribosomal RNA". It matches the Rfam family "Bacterial small subunit ribosomal RNA", at positions 507 to 807 of the family's 1533-position model. The record is from RNAcentral.
AGCAGUAGCCGCGGUAAAACGUAGGGUGCAAGCGUUGUCCGGAAUUAUUGGGCGUAAAGAGCUCGUAGGCGGUUUGUCGCGUCUGCUGUGAAAUCUGGGGGCUCAACCCCCAGCCUGCAGUGGGUACGGGCAGACUAGAGUGCGGUAGGGGAGAUUGGAAUUCCUGGUGUAGCGGUGGAAUGCGCAGAUAUCAGGAGGAACACCGAUGGCGAAGGCAGAUCUCUGGGCCGUAACUGACGCUGAGGAGCGAAAGCAUGGGGAGCGAACAGGAUUAGAUACCCGCGUAGUCCCUGUCUCUUAUAC